This 482-nucleotide ribosomal RNA is filed under the name uncultured soil bacterium. Its description in RNAcentral is "bacterial SSU rRNA". It matches the Rfam family "Bacterial small subunit ribosomal RNA", at positions 26 to 509 of the family's 1533-position model. The record is from RNAcentral.
AGAUUGAACGCUGGCGGCAUGCCUUACACAUGCAAGUCGAACGGCAGCACGGGAGCAAUCCUGGUGGCGAGUGGCGAACGGGUGAGUAAUACAUCGGAACGUGCCCAAUCGUGGGGGAUAACGCAGCGAAAGCUGUGCUAAUACCGCAUAAGAUCUACGGAUGAAAGCAGGGGAUCGCAAGACCUUGCGCGAAUGGAGCGGCCGAUGGCAGAUUAGGUAGUUGGUGAGGUAAAGGCUCACCAAGCCUUCGAUCUGUAGCUGGUCUGAGAGGACGACCAGCCACACUGGGACUGAGACACGGCCCAGACUCCUACGGGAGGCAGCAGUGGGAAUUUUGGACAAUGGGCGAAAGCCUGAUCCAGCCAUGCCGCGUGCAGGAUGAAGGCCUUCGGUUGUAACUGCUUUGUACGGAACGAAAGUCUCUUUACUAUAAAGAGGAUCAUGACGUACGUAAGAAUAAGACACGGACUAACGUACGUACG